RNAcentral lists this ribosomal RNA (99 nucleotides) under Jaculus jaculus (lesser Egyptian jerboa). Lineage: Eukaryota; Metazoa; Chordata; Mammalia; Rodentia; Dipodidae. The record is from RNAcentral.
GUCUAUGGCCAUACCACUCUGAAUACACCCAAUCUCCUCUGAUCUCAGAAGCUAAGUAGGGUGAAGGCCUGGUUAGUACUUGGGCAGGAGAAAUUGACU